Molecule: transfer RNA, 67 nt
Filed under: Sabella spallanzanii
Lineage: Eukaryota; Metazoa; Annelida; Polychaeta; Sabellida; Sabellidae
Description: tRNA-Glu
Rfam family: tRNA
About the family: Transfer RNA (tRNA) molecules are approximately 80 nucleotides in length. Their secondary structure includes four short double-helical elements and three loops (D, anti-codon, and T loops).
Source: RNAcentral
GUAUUUAUAGUGUAAUAUAUUAACACACUAGUUUUUCGUGCUAGAGAUAUGAGUUUCAUUAAAUAUU